RNAcentral lists this ribosomal RNA (253 nucleotides) under uncultured bacterium. Its description in RNAcentral is "partial 16S ribosomal RNA". It matches the Rfam family "Bacterial small subunit ribosomal RNA", at positions 524 to 776 of the family's 1533-position model. The record is from RNAcentral.
UACGGAGGGUGCGAGCGUUAAUCGGAAUUACUGGGCGUAAAGCGUGCGUAGGCGGCUGCCUAAGUUGGAUGUGAAAGCCCCGGGCUCAACCUGGGAACUGCAUCCAAAACUGGGCAGCUAGAGUGCGGAAGAGGAGUGUGGAAUUUCCUGUGUAGCGGUGAAAUGCGUAGAUAUAGGAAGGAACACCAGUGGCGAAGGCGACACUCUGGUCUGACACUGACGCUGAGGUACGAAAGCGUGGGGAGCAAACAGG